Molecule: ribosomal RNA, 251 nt
Filed under: uncultured prokaryote
Description: partial 16S ribosomal RNA
Rfam family: Bacterial small subunit ribosomal RNA
Source: RNAcentral
ACGAAGGGGGCUAGCGUUGUUCGGAAUAACUGGGCGUAAAGCGCGCGUAGGCGGGCUGUUAAGUCAGGGGUGAAAUCCCGGGGCUCAACCCCGGAACUGCCUUUGAUACUGGCAGCCUAGAGUUCGAGAGAGGUGAGUGGAAUUCCGAGUGUAGAGGUGAAAUUCGUAGAUAUUCGGAGGAACACCAGUGGCGAAGGCGGCUCACUGGCUCGAAACUGACGCUGAGGUGCGAAAGCGUGGGGAGCAAACAG